GGGUUGAUUUACAUUGUUGCUGUUGCUAGUAUAUGGAUUGCCGCUAGCUACAUCGUGCAGUCUGUUGUGGAUGCUGGUGUCUCUCCAUUCUUGAUCACCUAUAUAUGCAAUUCUCUGUUUGUUGUCUACAUUCCCAUAGUUGAGGCUGCUCGGUACUUUGAGGAUUCUUUUGGCGACUUUUGGAUAAAGUUGAAAUUCAAGGAUGCUGAAAGCCUGCAGCAGGCUUCUGAUCUGGAGAGUGUCAAUCUUCUUCAAUGUGGGAGGCAUGAGAUUAAUAUUGCCUCGGAUCAAUCACAAACAAGGCUGUCUGAAGACACUUCAGUUCCAGAUACAGGCUUCCCUGCCCACACGGAGCUAAGUGUUGUAGGUUGCAGCAAAGGGUUGGAUGCAAAGGGGCGCUGGACACGUGCUCGUGUGGCCAAAGUGAGCAUGCUAAUCAGCCCCUUUUGGUUCCUCGCGCAGCUUACAUUCAAUCUGUCUCUAAGAUACACCACUGUUACCGUAAGUGUUACUAAGAAGAACCAAAUGACACUUCCAUAUUUUAUUGAGAUCUAGUUGUGUUUUGUCCUAUCACUAUUUGAUCUAAAAUAUGCUUCUGUUUCUGUGAACUUGCAGUCAAACACCAUCUUAAGUAGCACGUCUAGCCUCUUCACUUUCUUGGUCGCAUUAGUUUUUCUUGGAGAGACAUUCACAUGGUUGAAGCUAAUUAGUGUGCUUCUCUGCAUGGGAGGUACAAUAAUUGUCAGCCUGGCUGAUUCAAGUAGUUCAGUUAAUGCCAUUGCUACAAAUCCUCGUCUCGGAGAUUUCCUAUCCAUUGUUUCUGCCGGUUUAUAUGCUGUGUAUAUCACCUUGAUUCGAAAAAAGUUGCCCGAUGAGAAAGGUCAAGGACAAGUGAGCAUGGCUCAGUUUCUGGGAUUCCUGGGACUCUUUAAUAUGUUGUUUUUCCUUCCUGUUGCAUUGGUAUUGAAUUUCGCCAAGCUGGAGCAAUUCCACAGUCUCACGUGGGAACAAGUUGGUCUUGUUGUUGGAAAAGGUACAUUUGCUCCCUAUCAUGAAAGUUCCCCAUUGUCUGAUUCAUAACAUAAACAAUAUUACUGCAAUCCAUAUCUCAAUGAUAUGUAGUAAUAACUCAUAGAAACAUUGAGGAUUCAUUAGUAAAAUCACACGGCGAGUAAUGAACUGCCACUAAUUUAUGAUUUCGGCAUUCUUUGUAGGUUUGAUAGACAAUGUUUUGAGUGACUACUUGUGGGCAAAAGCAAUCCUUCUCACAACAACUACGGUCGCUACAGCUGGCCUCACAAUCCAAGUUCCCAUUGCUGCCAUUGUGGACACGCUCACCGGUCAUGCUCCUCAUCUACUGGACUAUAUUGGAGCUGCUGCCGUCUUAGCUGGUUUUGCUGGGAUCAACAUACCAGUUGGAGAGUCUCUGCAGGUUGUUCAGCAAGAGCAGGAAACUCCAAUUGUUAGCAUGGUUGAUGACCCGGUUCAUUUGCCCACCAGUACCAAUGCUACUGAUUCCAUCUCAUAGUUGCCUGGGACCAUGUGAACUAUCAGCACUAUAUACAGACGUGUGUGUGUGUGUUGGGGGGGGGGGGGGGGGGGGGGGUUGAGACGAGCAUUUAUCUGCUUUUCCCUUCAAACCAAGCCAUCAGGACAGAAGAGAUGAAACAUGGACUGAAGUUAGAGUAGCUUACUUAGCUUUUUCAGAACUUUGAGCAACAAGUGUUUUGGGAUCUGCAUUUAUUUUAUCUUUACAUCUGCACAAGCAGUUUCAUACGGAAGUAAGUUCUGUUUCUGAUUCAUGCAAGGUGUUGCGUUUGUAGAAGGGUAUAAGUAUAAAGAAUUUGUAUUAUGUAUAUGGUGAAGCUCAACCAAUGGUAGUUGAGCCUAUAUUUAAGGUGUGUUUGGUUUCUAGUGACUAAUUUUUAGUUCAUCUAUUUUAUUUCAUUUUAGUCCCUAAAUUUCUAAAUGCGGAAAAUAAAAUAAAAUUUUAGUUUUGUAUUUGGCAAUUUAGUGACUAAAAUAUAAUAAAAUAUAGGAACUAAAAAAAAGUCUAUAGAAACCAAACAACCUCUUAAUAAAAGCAUUUUGAGCCCUAUGCCAUGAAAAUGCUGUUUAUUUCUCUCAGUUUUGGUUCCCAACUAAUUUUUGCUUUGCUCCUUCCAAAAAUUUGAAAAUUCCAGACAUCAGAUUAUCAGAACGAGUUGUUUUACUCACACCACAACUUAGGUUUAAGACAUUAUUUGUGACUAUCGUAACAGGUCUUCUCAGUUGGAAGUACUACAGGAGCGCGUGCUCUUGAAUCCUUUAAUUGACUGCAGCUGUUAUGCUUCAGGUGAAGUGCAUGGAAAUUUUGUCGGUUUUAAGAUGUCAUGACACAAUCGUAGACCGUAGUGUUUUUUAUGUACAUCAUUUAUUAUAUUAUUACUAAUUAUUACCCUAUGAUUAAUGUAAUAGUGAUAGAUCAACUUAUUUCAUUUUAUAAACCAAAUAAAAAAAGUGAAGAGUGGCAAGAUGAUGAAUUACCUUAUUUCUCAAAACAAACACAUUAAAAGUAUCUCAAACCAUAGUAUUUACUACAACCAUAAUAUUUAAAACAUAGUUUUUACCAGGUACCCAAACCUCUUGACAAAAAAAAUACUAUGGUAUUUUUCAAUAUCAUAACCUCAAACUCCAAAAUUACUUUGCUUCCAAAUACCCUCUAAUUAGGGAUGGCAAUCGGGUGGGUAGAACGCGGAUAUAUGGUUCGCGUAUCCAUACCCACGAGAUAAAACCAUACCCAUACCCAUACCCAUUUACGCUCGUGGGUACGGAUCUGUAUCCGUACCCGUACCCGCCGGAUAUCCGUUAUCCAACGGAUAUCCGUUACCCGCCCGCCCACUAAAAUUUCAGCAAGUAAUCUUUUCAAAUCCCUACAAGCAAUCUGUCCAAAACUCUAAAUUGAAACACUAAUUUAUCCAAGCAACUUUAAUUUACCAGAGAAGACUCGACGCUCGGCGGUGGCAGGGCGGCUCGAACGGUGGCUCGGCUGCUUGGCGGCGCCCUGUGCUCGGCGGCGGCUCGGCUGCUCGGCGGCACCCUGUGCUCGGCGGCUUGCUGCUCGCUGCAGCCCUGCACAAGCACGACUGGAACUUCAAGCUUGGCGGCUGGCUAGGGUUAGAAACUUGGAGUUGGAGACCGACUGAGUGACUGACCGCCGAGAGCCCGAGAGGCCAAGACCAAGAGUCCAAGACCGCAGGGGCAGGGCGCAGGCUGUUGAUCGCUUGGAUGUUGGAUUGGAUUUGGCCUCUGGUCGUAGCCUCCUGGCCUCCUGGGCCGUAGGCGGCACUGCGACAGGCCGCUUGGACUUGGACGUUGGACUGCUGGUCACUGUUUGGGUCCACAUGUCAUAUGUCCAUCGGGUGACGGAUAUGGAUAGCAGAUAUCCAUACCCACAAAAUUAUUACCCGUGGAUACCAUAUAAUACCCAUACCCGUACCCGCGGAUAUAAAACUCCACCAUAUCCGUACCCAACGGGUAAAUAACCGCGGUUAUUUACCCAUACCCGUACCCAUUGCCAUCCCUACCUCUAAUAUGUUUGUCCAUAAAAAAAGAUGUCUACAACUGCGAACAUCUUGCUCAGAUCUCUUUGUCUUGGACUGUCUUCAACGCAUUCCCACUCCGACGGUAUAGCGGCUACAGUUACCAUCUACCGGCUGCAACGGAGCACACCACGACGUCCUUUAUCCAAGGGGAACGCUCUCUCUCCUCCCGUGUCUAGAGGAAUGCUACGGCAACCCUCUGUCCCUGUUCCUCCCGUUCGCGGUUGGUUGGUGAAGUUUCUCACUGCUCGCUUGCGCACGGCCGUGCUCGAAGACGACGCCGGAGUCGAGACUGCUUCUAGGUGCUAGCGUGCGGUGGCGGUUAGGCUAUCCGCAAGCGUUAGCUCUAAAUUUUUCUCCCUAUAUCACUUUUCCCUCUAUUUUCCUCCUAUUUUUUCAUCUCCCGCAGCGGUUCCUCCUAAAUAUUCACUCUAUACCCUACUACAACUAUAAAAUAUCAUUUUCUAUAUCAACUAUCAAUUUUUUAUCUACUAACAAUUACUCGUGAACCCACAGCACAGUGUUUAGGGGAUAAACAGUGAUACGCUAGAUCUAAGGGGAGAGAGAAGGGGCCGGCGCGUAGGGGGCGCUGUAGUGGGCAUCGCUGCGGCCGUAGAGUGCCCUCUACAAACCGCAUGCAAGAGAAGGGGGCUGCCGAAUUUUUUAUAUUUUGGCCCUUCCUCGGAAAAAAAUACACGUUUGGACCUUAGAAAAUUUUAAUGUCAUUUUUGGACCCUCUGAUCGGCGCCAUCGCCAAUGGCGCUGAGGUAACACAGCUCGGCGCCAUAGGCUAUGGCGCCGAGGUGUGUGCUGCGCUGGCACAAACGGAUGUCGUGGCACCGCGGGUGGUAGGCAGCGAUGCGGGUGCGGCGCAACGACGUAGUCCAGGCAAAGGCCGGAGAAGAGAAAGACGUUGCUGCCAAGUCCACUCUCGACGAAUCAAAUCAAGCGUCCAUGUAUGGAUCCAACCCACAUGCCUUCUAUCUGUACUCCAACCUAAACAUUGUUGGCAAUCCCCUCUAAUCCCCACAUGAGCACAUCGAUUUCCCUAUUAGAUCUACUUGUACAGGUUCACAAUAAAUGUAAGGCCCUGUUUGUUUGGGAAUAUAAUCUAUGUAGAUUAUAUAAUCCAAUGUAAAUAAGUUAGUGAGGAAACAAACAAACAACUUAUCUAAUAAGAUUAUAUAAUCUAGCACUUGAGAUUAUGAUAAUCCUGUAAGCUUAUCGAAAGGUGCUUAUUUCAGCUUAUUUUUGAUGAAAGACCCACUACCCAUGGCAAGUUGAUUAAAAUUACUUUCAAUUGUCAUUCACCUGUCCAUACGUGUUUCACCCACCAGACAAGUAAAAUAGCCAAGGGUAUUGUUGUAUUUGUAUGCAUAUGAAUAAUAAGUCGAGUCCAAAUAAUCUAAACUAACAAACAGCAGCAUCUAGCUUAUUUAAUCCAGAGCAAAUAAUCCAGAUUAUAUAAUCUAGAUUAUAAUUUAGAUUAUAUAAUCUAUAAGUUGAAACAAACAGGGCUUAAAGUGAAGUGUGCUCGGUUAUCUUGUGAUUACUAACUUCGAUGCACAACCGAAAGGGUCAUUUGUGCAUGAUAUGUGCACAUGCUAGAUUAUGAGAAGAACAACACGUGACCUUUUUUAAUGGAUGCAUAUGAUGUUGGGUUUAUAUCCCAAGACUGAACAUGGAUGCGUGCUGAAGCUGUUUGUGUUGUACAUUAUCGUAAAAAUGUCAAUGCAGCUUUGUGGUGUCAAUUAUUUGCUAUUAAAAUUCUUGUGAUGAACUUAUUCAGUUAGACUAUACUGUCUUUGAACUGAAGCAAAGGGAAGCCUUAAGGCAAUUGAACAGAACGGUAACCGAGCUACAGCCUGCUCGUGAAGCAAUUGCACUUAUCAAGAUGUCUGUUACAGAAUUGAUGAAUAAUAAGAAUGGAAGAUGCAUUGAAGCUUGAUUCCUUCCUGGGAAACCUUCCAAAGAAAUUGAUGUUUGGUAGUGUUGAUGCAAUGAAUGUAACUGUAGUUAAGAGCACCUAGAGGAGGAGAAUAGAUGAUCCUGUAAAAAUCUAAACAACACAAACUUGGUUUAUAAAAUGUUAUUGAAGUCAAAACCAAGGUGCUAUGAAUAGAGAGGGAGAGAACUCUUCACAUGAUUGUUCCUUUAAAAUAUGUAUUUGAACUUAGAAACAAUAGUGUAAGUGAUUAAGUGAGAACUCUAAGGAAGAAAGCAAUCACAAUAGAAGUUACAUAAGAGACACGGUGAUUUUAUCCCGUGGUUCGGCCAAUGCCUACUCCACAUUGUGGCGACCUCCUUAGGUCAAGAAUUGCACUCAAUCCCUCUAAAGUGAUCCAAAUAUCAACUUGAGUACCACGAUUUUUCUUCCUUUUCUCAAGUAUUCCCUUUGUAAGGAAUCUCUACAAAUUAGAGCCUCUCACCCUUACAAGAUUGAUCACACUUAACCACAAGAGUAAGGGAGAGAAUAGAAACAAUGCAGAGCUAGAGUCGCCAGCAAUGACACGGACACAAGUCAAGAAACGAGCACACAACACAGCGCAGCAAGUUCACAGCUCAGACAAGUGCUCAAAUCUCAACAUAAAUAAUCGAUGCGUGCUUGCGGAGUCUAGACGUCUUAGGAUGUUCAAGAGGUGUUUGGUGUGCUGCUCCAUGCGCUGGCGUGACGGUAUCCAUAGAGAUUUGAUCCAUGGGCUCGUCCUUCCAAAACGAUCCCGUCUCCACGUCAGGUAAGGCCUUGUUCGUUUCUGCCGGAUUGGUGGGUCGGAACGAUUCCUGACCGGAUUGCUUCUCUAAUUUAUAUAAACUUUGAUUAGCUGAAACGAUUCCGGGUGCAAUCCGACGGAACGAACAAGGCCUAACUCGGCUCUCGCAAUAAAUUUCCUAGCAAACGUCAAGCGGUUUCGGCAUACUUGGAUGUGGAUUACUUGCCCAUCAAAAUUUCUGAGAGGGUGAGGUUGCGUGCUUCUCUUAUCUUCUCUUUCGUUAUCACUACUACAAUGAUUGAUUAUUUUAUUGGCAUAUCAAUGGGUGCAAUCUCGUGGGGAUGUGCAGACGUGGGUUGCUUUUUCAGUUAGGAGCCAUUCCUUGCCGCAAUGAGUGAAUUGGGCACAGCAUUUGAACAAAAGGAGCAAUCUGUUAUUGGUAAUGGUAAUGUGACAUGAGCAGGAAUAUGGAGGUCGCGGACCAACCAUAGUUGAUGCCCUUAAUCCUCCAAACCGAAAAAUAAUCACUUCUGCCUACGUUUGUUCAGUAUAGCGUAUGCUCUAUACGUUUUUUUUCCUAUACCAAAUGUUGUUGAACUUAUGGUUUGUGACCUUAACAGGAAGUUCGGAGGUUGCUGAUGGCAGUAGAAGCAGCACCAACAAGUGGACCAAAAUUACGAGCACAAACUCGUGGAGAUGGUGCUUAGGUUGAUUUACAUUGUUGCUGUUGCUAGUAUAUGGAUUGCCGCUAGCUACAUCGUGCAGUCUGUUGUGGAUGCUGGUGUCUCUCCAUCUUGAUCACCUAUAUAUGCAAUUCUCUGUUUGUUGUCUACAUUCCCAUAGUGAGGUGCUCGGUACUUUGAGGAUUCUUUGGCGACUUUUGGAUAAAGUUGAAAUUCAAGGAUGCUGAAAGCCUGCAGCAGGCUUCUGAUCUGGAGAGUGUCAAUCUUCUUCAAUGUGGGAGGCAUG
Molecule: long non-coding RNA, 7261 nt
Filed under: Zea mays
Lineage: Eukaryota; Viridiplantae; Streptophyta; Magnoliopsida; Poales; Poaceae
Description: long non-coding RNA (ZMAY_LNC003025)
Source: RNAcentral